GUGAGGAAUAUUGCGCAAUGGAGGCAACUCUGACGCAGCCAUGCCGCGUGCAGGAAGAAGGCGCUACGCGUUGUAAACUGCUUUUAACCGGGAAGAAACCCCAGGACGUGUCCUGGGUUGACGGUACCGGAGGAAUAAGCACCGGCUAACUUCGUGCCAGCAGCCGCGGUAAUACGAAGGGUGCAAGCGUUAUCCGGAUUCAUUGGGUUUAAAUGGUGCGUAGGCGGAGCGUUAAGUCAGUGGUGAAAUCCUGCAGCUUAACUGUAGACUUGCCAUUGAGACUGGCGCUCUUGAGUGCGCUUGAAGUGGGCGGAAUGUGCCGUGUAGCGGUGAAAUGCUUAGAUAUGGCACAGAACACCAAUUGCGAAGGCAGCUCACUAAGGCGAUACUGACGCUGAGGCACGAAAGCGUGGGGAUCGAACAGGAUUAGAAACCCCAGUAGUCC
This 445-nucleotide ribosomal RNA is filed under the name uncultured bacterium. Its description in RNAcentral is "partial 16S ribosomal RNA". It matches the Rfam family "Bacterial small subunit ribosomal RNA", at positions 354 to 796 of the family's 1533-position model. The record is from RNAcentral.